GGGGGGAGAGUAACGUCGGGCCGGGUCAGCGGGCGCUGCAGUAGUCGCCGCAGCGGCUAUGGGAGCGGUGGGGACGAGGCGGCGGCGGCGGCGGCAGGAGGAGGUGCAGGGGCUGGCACGAGAGCAGCGGCCCGGGGAGGCCCGCAGCAACACCCGCAGCCGCCGCCGCCGCCUUUAGACGCGGACGGCACCCGAGGGGACCGCCGGCCGUCUGAGCCGCGCUCGGGUCCCGCCGCAGUGGGCGGCGGGGGAUGGGCAGGCGGCGGCGGGCCAGCCUGCUGAGCAGUGACUCCCGCCGGUGCGGACCCUGAGCUGAACCCCAGUCCUCCGCCGGAGAUCCUGCGUCCGCCGCGGCCCAGAUUAAAUGGAAACCACCCUUGGGAGCUAGAUGCCUGUGUAGCUGUUUUACCACGUCAGUGUUUUGCAAUGAGUGGGGGAGGAGAGCAGCCAGACAUCCUCAGUGUUGGAAUCUUGGUCAAAGAAAGAUGGAAAGUGUUAAGAAAGAUUGGGGGUGGGGGCUUUGGAGAGAUUUACGAUGCCUUGGACAUGCUCACCAGGGAAAAUGUGGCGCUGAAGGUGGAGUCAGCUCAGCAGCCAAAGCAAGUUCUGAAGAUGGAGGUCGCUGUGUUGAAGAAACUGCAAGGGAAAGACCAUGUUUGUAGAUUUAUUGGCUGUGGGAGAAAUGAUCGUUUCAACUAUGUGGUCAUGCAAUUGCAGGGUCGGAAUCUGGCAGAUCUUCGACGUAGCCAGUCCCGGGGCACAUUCACCAUUAGCACUACUCUUCGGCUCGGGAGACAGAUUCUGGAGUCUAUUGAAAGCAUCCAUUCUGUGGGAUUCCUUCACAGAGACAUCAAACCGUCAAACUUCGCAAUGGGACGCUUUCCCAGUACAUGCAGGAAAUGUUUCAUGCUUGAUUUUGGCUUGGCCCGACAAUUUACGAAUUCCUGUGGUGACGUCAGACCUCCUCGUGCUGUGGCAGGCUUUCGAGGGACAGUUCGUUAUGCAUCAAUCAAUGCUCAUCGGAACAGAGAAAUGGGAAGACACGAUGACCUUUGGUCGUUAUUCUACAUGUUGGUAGAGUUUGUGGUUGGUCAGCUGCCUUGGAGAAAAAUAAAGGACAAGGAGCAAGUGGGUUCCAUUAAGGAGAGGUAUGACCAUAGGCUCAUGUUGAAACACCUCCCUCCUGAAUUCAGCACCUUUCUUGACCAUAUUUCCUCUUUGGAUUAUUUUACAAAGCCAGACUACCAGCUUCUUACAUCCCUGUUUGACAGUAGCAUCAAGGCCUUUGGAGUGACUGAGAGCGACCCUUUUGACUGGGAGAAGAGCGGAACUGACGGCUCCCUGGCCACCACCACCACCUCUGCCACCCCUCAGCUGCACACCCGCUUGACCCCUGCUGCAAUUGGAAUUGCAAAUGCCACUCCUAUCCCAGGAGACUUGCUCCGAGAAAAUACAGAUGAAGUGUUUCCAGAUGAACAGCUUAGUGAUGGGGAGAAUGGUAUCCCUGUUGGUGUAUCACCAGAUAAAUUACCUGGAUCUCUGGGGCACACUCGCCCUCAGGAAAAGGAUGUCUGGGAAGAGAUGGAUAUCAACAAGAACAAGAUAAAGCUUGGAAUUUGUAAGGCUGCUACUGAAGAAGAAAAUAGCCAUGGUCAAGUAAAUGGUGUUCUCAAUGCUCCCAGUCUGGGCUCACCAAUUCGUGUCCGAUCAGAGAUUACUCAGCCAGACAGGGAUGUUCCCUUAGUAAGGAAGUUACGUUCUAUUCACAGCUUUGAGCUAGAAAAACGUCUGACACUAGAGCCCAAACCAGAUACUGACAAGUUUCUUGAGACUUGCAUGGAGAAAAUGCAGAAAGAUUCCAGUGCAGGAAAGGAAUCAGUUCUCCCUGCUCUGCCUCAUAAGCCUUGUGUUCCUGUUGUGUCCCGCACUGAGCACAUCUGGCACUAUGAUGAAGAAUACCUUCCUGAUGCCUCCAAACCUGCCUCUGCCAACACUCCAGAGCAGGCAGAUGGUGGUGGCAGCAAUGGAUUUGUAGCUGUUAACUUCAGCUCUUGCAAGCAGGAGGUUGAUUCCAAAGAAUGGGUGAUUGUGGACAAAGAGCAAGACCUUCAGGAUUUUAGGACAAAUGAGGUGUUAGGCCAUAAAACAACUGGAAGCCCUUCAGAUGAGGAGCCUGAAGUGCUUCAGGUCCUUGAAGGGUCAGCUCAAGAUGAAAAGAUCCAAGGAGGUCCUUGGAGCAACAACCAUCACUUAAAGGAAACCUCAGGUGCGGUCUUAGCACUUUCUGUGGAAGGUCCUGCCCCUGGUGCUUCAGAACAGUACACAGAUAGGCUAGACCUCCAGGCUGCAGCUGCCAGUCAGUUCAUCACCGUGACUCCUACAAGUCCAAUGGAGGCGCAAGCAGAAGGCCCCCUGACUGCGAUUACAAUUCCUAGACCUUCUGCGGCAUCAACACAGUCAACUUCAGGAAGCUUUCACUAUGGUCCACAACCAGAGAAGAAAGAUCUUCAGCCCUUGGAACCCACUGGGGAACUUUAUUCUCCCAGAGAAAACUUCUCCUGCUUGGUUGCAACAGAGGGCGAACUUCCUAGUGGAGAAAGCAGAACGGAUUUGGGACUUCAGAUAGAUCACACUGGUCAUGACGUGUUACCCAAUAUGAGAGACGGGGAUACAUCUCAAGACUUGGGACCAAAAGACUUUCCUGACCAUACUAGAUUGGUUAUGAAAGAAUUUGAAAAUCUUCCUGGAGAAACAGAGGAAAAAGGCAUUCUUCUGGGCUCAGAUAAUGAAGAUGAGAAGUUAAGUAAAGGGCAGCAUUGUGUUGAAAUCGCUUUCCCAGGAGAUUUAGUAACUGUAGAAAGGGAACAGUCAGCUACCACAGAACCUCUCGAUAUUUCAAAGACACAGAAUUUUAGUGUGGUGCCAAAUCAGGACAAAAACCAUGAGAUUAUGAAGCUUUUGACAAUUGGAACUUCAGACAUUUCUCAACAAGUCAUUGACCCGCAUGCUGAAGGGCAGACAGGCCAGGUGGUGGAGAUGCAGACAAAGCAGCUCCUCAAGGGUGCCGACAGGAAGAGUGAGGACUUGCCAGGACAGCAGGGAGACCUCUCUACUUUUCUGCACCAAGAGGGAAAGAGAGAGAAAGUUGUCCCUAGAAAUGGAGAGCUCUAUCAUUGUGUCUCAGAGAAUGAGCAUGGUCUUCCCACCCGGAAGGACAUGCUUCGGUCAUCCUUUGUAACCAGGCACAGCCGGAUCCCUGUUUUAGCACAAGAAAUAGAUUCAACUUUUGAAUCAUCUUCUGCGGUCUCUGCAAAAGAAAAGCUUCUACAGAAGAAAGCCUAUCAGCCAGAACUAGUCAGACUUCUGGUAGAAAAAAGGCAGUUCAAGUCUUUCCUGGGGGACCUCUCAAGUGCCUCUGAUAAGCUGAUAGAGGAGAAAUUAGCUGCUGCUCCUGUUCCCUUUUCUGAGGAAGAAGUCUUCACUCCCUUUUCCAGACUGGCAGUAGACACCCACCUGAGUAGAUCGGCUGAGGAUGGCUUUCUGACACCCAUCAUCUCCCAGUCUCGAAAGAGCAAGAUUCCAAGGCCGGUUUCCUGGGUCAGCACGGAUCAAGUUAAUAGCUCAGCUUCACCUCAGUUCUUGCCUCGGCCACCACCAGGAAAGCCACCAAUCAGGCCUGGAGUAGAAGCCAGGCUACGCAGAUAUAAAGUUCUAGGGAGUAGUAACUCUGACUCAGACCUUUUCUCUCGCCUGGCCCAAAUUCUUCAAAAUGGAUCUCAGAAACCCCGGAAUACUCCUCAAUCCAAGAGCCCAGGAUCGCCUCACAAUCCAAAAACACCACCCAAGAGUCCAGUUGUACCUCGCAGGAGUCCCAGUGCCUCUCCUCGAAGCUCAUCCUUGCCCCGAACAUCUAGCUCCUCACCAUCUAGGGCUGGACGGCCCCACCAUGAGCAGAGGAGUUCGUCCCCACAUCUGGGGAGAAGCAAGUCACCCCCCAGCCACUCAGGAUCAUCGUCGUCCAGGAGGUCCUGCCAACAGGAGCAUUGUAAACCCAGCAAGAAUGGCCCCAAAGGAUCUGGCAGUCUCCACCACCACUCAGCCAGCUCCAAAACUCCCCCAGGGAAGAGUAAGCCAGCCAGUAAACUCAGCAGAUAGGAAGCAAGUGGGCUGCAUCUCUGGGAAAGGUGCAUAGUGCAACAGUUGGCAGUCUUUCGCAAGCCAAGGUGUGGUGGCUCAUGUUUCUAACCCAGUACUUGAGGGAAUAAGAUACGAAGAUGGAAGAGAAUCUGAAGCCAACCUCAGCUUCAUAGGAACUUCAAGUCCACCUGGGCUAUAGUGUGAGAACCUCUCAAAAAACAAAACAGAAACUGUUGUUUUAUAUGAUUUUUUUAAGUUUUCAUACAUACAUGUAUAUAUUGUAUGUUGAGUAUACUUCCCUCUCAUUCUUUCGUAUCUGUCAAUAUGGCACAUCUUAAAAUUAUUUCUUCUUUCAUGUUCAUGCAAGGACUAAGUUGUUUACAUUCGCUUUUUAAAAAAACGUGCCUAUUUCGGGUUUGUGUUAGGAUACUGUUUCUGGGGAGAGGUCAUUUAGCACCUUUUCCACUGAGGUAAUAGAGCAGUUGCAACCAACUAUACAGUUUAACUUUCUUGAAUUUGGUUCUAUAGACAAUGUGUUUGCAGAAUAGCUCUUUAGGAUUUAAUCCAAAUGCAUUAUAGGAUUACAGCAUGUAACUACUCUGGUGGUCCUUAUAUGCCAACAUAUACCCAAGUAUAUUGUGGAAGGAAACUUAGGCAGUUCCACAACUUGGACAGCAUGGGAGUUGUGAUGCUUGGUAAGCACCAAGUGGUUAUUAACACACCCCACUUCCUGUCUUCACCAAAACUUUACAAAACUCUAGUGUGUACUGUGAGAAUGUGUAAGAAAAGUGGAAACUCUUCAUAUUAUUGGGUAUUUGCCACAUUUUGGCCAUUUCUCCGGAAAUUGAGCACAGUCUUGGCACCUUCGGAGUCUUGUUACCCGACCCUGCUUGCCAGAGCUGCAGAAAGAGGAGAGUCCCAUAGUUCCUAGGUAACUAAUCCAGGUAUGGGACAAGAACCCCUAUGCACUUAAGGGGGUCUGGCUUUCAGUUAAGUUCUUCGUCUUGCAGGGGAUUUGCAUCGCAAUCUCAAGAUGCUAAAUGGCCAAGAUUUACUCAGUAAUGACUUCAGUAGUUUGCUUUCCCCCCAGGACUAAUAACCAGGCUGGUCAAGGCAUGUUCAAGGUAAUGGGAUUAUUUUCCUCUACUUCCCUCAGACCUUGGUUGUAAGGUAACCUGUAGCAGAAGUAAAGUGGCAUUCCUUCCAUUGUCCCUACAAUGUAACAAGCUUCUGCCUUCUCUCAUGGGGUGAUAGAAUCGGCACUAUAGACUGGUGGCUGACCACUUCUCCUGGCACCUUCAACCAGACUUUUUAGACCAACAACAGGAUGAAUGAGGCAGAUCUUUGAGACUAUGGAAUUACAGAUAACAUAAUUUUACACUAACAGUGGAUAGAUUUGUCUAUAAUUUAAAAUUGUUUUAUAUUAUACGCACGAUUGUUCAACUAAAGACAUCAGUAAACCAAGUUUUUAUGUAGACUAUCCUUGCCAUAUAAUACUUUUUAAAACUCCUAUAAAACAUGAUUUAAAUCCUCAAAAAUUCACUUGUAUAACAAGCAAACUAUGCCAGGUGUUUUUUGCUCAUCUACAUCAGUAAACAAGGCUACAGAGUUUAGCUGUGAUUUAUUUUAGGGAGUUUGAUGAGAAAGCUUUGAGACAAAAACCGUUUUUUGUGUGUUUUGUUUUGGUUUUUCAAGACAAGGUUUCUUUGUGUAGC
This is an RNA transcript of Onychomys torridus (southern grasshopper mouse), 5852 nucleotides long. It is a transcript of the gene named tau tubulin kinase 2, with no coding region annotated. Lineage: Eukaryota; Metazoa; Chordata; Mammalia; Rodentia; Cricetidae. The record is from RefSeq and is a predicted model, not a curated record. The transcript is spliced from 17 exons.